Ictidomys tridecemlineatus (thirteen-lined ground squirrel) is the source of this 2133-nucleotide non-coding RNA. The record is from RefSeq and is a predicted model, not a curated record. NCBI's taxonomy places the organism in Eukaryota, Metazoa, Chordata, Mammalia, Rodentia, Sciuridae.
CCCCGGGGGCCAUACACACAGAAAGAGCUGCUCCCCGGGUAGGAACAACCCACAUGUCCAUCAGCUGAUGAAUGGACCAGUGUAUUGUGCUCUACCCAUACAAGACAACGCUCCUUCCACCUCAAAAGGAACAAGGGACUGACACAUGGUGUGACGUGGAGGAACCUUGAAAACAUGAUGCUAGGGGCAGAAGCCAGACGCAGAAGACCAAAUUCCAUAGGGUCCAUUUGUCUGAAAUGUCCAGAAGAGGCACAGCUGUGGAGACAGAAAAGUGCCUUCCUGGUUCCCAGGGCCUGGGGGGAGGGGCUGGGAAUGACUGAGCAGGGAUGGGGCCUCCUUUGGAGGUGGUGAAAAUGUUCUGCAAUGGAUAAUGAUGACGGUGGCACAACUCGGAAUAUAUCAACCAAGGCUGAAUUUCAUGUGGAUUAUUUCUCAACUUAAAAAAAAAAAACCUGGAGGAAGCAGACUCUGCUUACUUACUAUUAGUAGCAGGCAGAUGGGAAGAUUUCUCAUCUAUGCAUCAAGAACGGGAGAUUACAAAAAAAGCAACACUCAGAAAACAACAAGGACAACCAAAGGAGCUUGGGAAUGUCAUGACAUGAUGGGUGACAUCCAAGACCUAAAGCAAGGUUGGAAGGUAGUGUUGGGAAAGUGUCAGAAAGAGACACAGCUGCAGAGAGAAGAAACGGGAGGCCCGCGUCCCAGGGCAGCAGCUCCCAGGACAAUGAAGGCCAGAAGAAGAUCUUAACAGCCUCCAGGGAGAGGAAAAGAAGGCACCGCACAAAGGCUGCCUUCCUGGCAGCAGCUGUGGGAUCUGUAAGAUGAUGCAGCUGUCUGCAGUGAGAGCAUUUCCCACUGGAUUUCUAGACCUGAAGAAACGGUCCAUCACGUGCAAAGGCAGGAGAAAGGCAUCUUCAGGAAUUUGGGAACCAUCCUCCACUUCCCAGCAGGAAGCACUUUGGUGGGUUUAUCUCAAAAUGCCUCUCCAGGAGCACCCAGGCUUGUUUCUACCCGGUCAAGAAAGGAGACGUCAACCCUGCAGCUCCUUCUCCUCAAACCCUGCCUAACAUGCCUUUCACCCGAGGAACAUGGGCCAUUGAAGACAAGCAGAAGCAUGUGCGUGUGCACGCGCGCGCGCGCACACACACACACACACACACACACACACCCCUGAGGUUUUGGGCAGGGUUGAAACAAAGGCUGCUCUUUUUAUUUUUGCUUGGUGUCUGGUUGUGGGUGGUGAAUAAGCUCCUUUUCUUGGAUGAGGGAGGCCCUCUGCAGCCUGGGCUCCAGGGCCUGCCGGGGAGCAGUGUCUAAUGAGUUACUGGAGAGUCAGAGGUUUUGUGGGACUGUGUGGGAGGACCAGUCGCUCUCUGAUGAGAAACUGUGUCAAAGUUGUUGGCACAGCUGAUGGUCCAUGUUCACAUGCAGACUUGGAACCCGACCAAGCCUGGGGGUGGGGGUGAAACUCUUCUGCCAUUUUGCAGAACGGCAUCCAGCAAAUGUAGGAUAAGCACUGGCCGCUGUUAGGAAAGCCCCAGGAACUACUGACCCAGUAGAUAGAGUCUGCUUCAAGCUGGGAGAGGCUUCCAGAAAAUUCAAGAAACAUCCAGGAAUUGCUGGUUGGCGACAUUAAGUGAAUGGAGGCAUCCUGAAUUUUUUUUUUUUUUUUUUGGCUGUAACCAAAUUGUGUAGUCAUGCAUCUCCUGUUUGGCCUCAUGGGUGCAAAGGUGAGACAGACGUCAUCGUCACUGUUGUCAGGGGUUUAUGGGUAGAAGGGGGGGAACCUGCUCAGGAUGAAGGACAGCAGAGAUGGCUCUUUUGAUCACAAGACUGCUGAGGUCCAUUGCCAAGUAGGAAUGACGCAUGGAAAUUUCCUUGCCAGCGUACCCCAUGUUAAAUGGACUUGCCUUGGAAAUUUGCUGUGACCUUGCAUGUGUGUUUGAGAAAGGUGACCCUGCUCAAUGACCAGGGUGGAUCCAGGAUUAGGAUGUAUCCUGCAGGUUUUAGGAAAUAUCCGGGUUUAAGAUAAUUCAAGUUUAAGGCGUUCCCGGUUUAAGACAAUAGGGGUUUUAGGGAAGUUGGAGGUUGAAGAUUAUUGCUGCUGGGAUUAGGGUGUUCCUGCUGCUUGUU